AAAUUCCAGUCAAACCUGGAGAUAGCUGGUUCUCUCGGGAAUAGCUUUAGGGCUAGCCUGAAGUGAUGAUUAUUGGAGGUAGAGCACUGUUUGGACGAGGAGCCCCUCUCGGGUUACCGGAUUCAGACAAACUCCGAAUGCCAAUUAAUUUAACUUGGGAGUCAGAACAUGGGUGAUAAGGACCGUGUUCGAAAGGGAAACAGCCCAGACCACCAGCUAAGGUCCCAAAAUAUAUGUGAAGUGGAAAAGGAUGUGGAGUUGCCGAGCCAACUAGGACGUUGGCUUAGAGGCAGUCGUCAUUUAAAGAGGGCGUAAUAGCUCACUAGGCGAGUGACACUGCGCCGGAAAUGGGACGGGGCUGA
This 362-nucleotide ribosomal RNA is filed under the name Staphylococcus aureus. RNAcentral's name for it is "bacterial LSU rRNA". It matches the Rfam family "Bacterial large subunit ribosomal RNA", at positions 824 to 1184 of the family's 2925-position model. The record is from RNAcentral. Lineage: Bacteria; Bacillati; Bacillota; Bacilli; Caryophanales; Staphylococcaceae.